CACGUAGGGCGCAAGCGUUGUCCGGAAUUAUUGGGCGUAAAGAGCGUGUAGGCGGCUUGACAGGUCUGCUGUGAAAACUCGAGGCUCAACCUCGAGAUGUCGGCGGAAACCGUCUGGCUAGAGUCCGGAAGAGGAGAGUGGAAUUCCUGGUGUAGCGGUGAAAUGCGCAGAUAUCAGGAAGAACACCUAUGGCGAAGGCAGCUCUCUGGGACGGUACUGACGCUGAGACGCGAAAGCGUGGGGAGCGAACAGG
This 253-nucleotide ribosomal RNA is filed under the name uncultured bacterium. RNAcentral describes it as "partial 16S ribosomal RNA". It matches the Rfam family "Bacterial small subunit ribosomal RNA", at positions 524 to 776 of the family's 1533-position model. The record is from RNAcentral.